RNAcentral lists this long non-coding RNA (2188 nucleotides) under Lathyrus oleraceus (garden pea). Its description in RNAcentral is "Pisum sativum (pea) long non-coding RNA (PSAT_LNC021829)". The record is from RNAcentral. Lineage: Eukaryota; Viridiplantae; Streptophyta; Magnoliopsida; Fabales; Fabaceae.
AAGGACUUAUUUGAACACCUCAUGUUCUCCUGGCCUGAAAGUCGUCGUCUCCUCCGCGCAAGAGGUCGCCUCUGGUGGCGGAGGAGGGCCAAAUCAUGAUUUUAACCACUAAUCUCUUUGUAUGUGUCUCUUUUACACGAAUCUAUCAACAACUUCUCACAAUUCCAAAACCUAAAGCCUAAACCGGUUCUAAUUAUGUAUGAACCCUAAAUGUCAAAAGUGAAAUUAAAUACUCCUCUCAAGGAAUAAAAGCCCAAGAGGUUGGGGCUUUGAUUCCCCAUACCUUGGAUCACAUCCUGGUAAUAAUUUUGAAGCAAGAAGGUGAAAUUGAGCUUACGCCGCCGGAGACGAUGGAUAUGACGACGGAAUUCCGGUAAGGUUCUUGCUAUGAGCUUUCCUUGCAUCUGAAAUUCAACUAUUCUUAUUCCCUUUCUUCUCUUUAUCUCUUCUUUUACCCUGUCAUUCUUCUAUUGAUAUUUCAUGAGUGAUGGAUUGAAUUGAGGGUGAGGUAAUGAGAGAGAUUCAUGGAGAAUUUUGAUGAGUGGAUUUCAAAGUGAUUUGGUUCAAUAAUGAUGAAUGAUUGGAGAUGUGAAUGGAGUGAUGAAUUUGGUGAAUUAUUGGGGUUAGUUUUGAUGAAACUCAGGGUCUGGAGUUUGAUGAAUGAAAAUUGAGUGAUUUCUAAUGAAUGAAGGUGAAUGAUGGGAUUCGUGCUGAAGUUUGGAAUGGUGAUGAGUGAUUUCUGAUGAAUGAAUAUGGAUGAUGGAAUUCGAGAGAGUGAUGGUGAUAUUUAUAGGGGUUAGGAAUGGGUUAGAUUUAACAGCAAAUUCUGUUAGAAGUUAGUUGAUGAUGAGUUUCUGAAACUGAUUCAGUUGGAAGUUAGUUAUGCAUUUUAUUUUCUGUUAGGUAGUUAGAAUUCUAUUUUGUUAGGUUAUUGCAAGUUAGUUGGAUGAUUUCUAUUAUUGAUGAGUUUGAGAGAGAUUUUUGUGUUGGUGAAUGAAUUGAUUUCUAUUCAUGAAUGUUAGUAUGUGAACUGUUGUAUGUUAGCAGUUAGAAAGUGAUUGAAUGAAUUUUUGUUUGCACUGAGUGUACAUGUUUGAUUGUAUGCUACUGAUGCAUUGUUGUUAAUGUGUGAUUGUAUGGAAUAAAUUUUGUUACUAUGCAUUGCCUUGCUUGGUUUUUAAAUGAAGUCCAUUACCCUGGUAUUAUGAUGCAUUGUUGUUGAUGUGUUAUUUCUACUGCAUUUCCUAUUUGAAAUGUUGAUGGGUCUGUUAUAGCAGUUAGUGAUUAAAUUGGAUGUAUGUUGGCUAAUAUGUAUUGCCAUAGGUUGUUAUGUAUGCUUUGUGUGAUUGUUUAACUGUUUUGAUGAAUGCCUUAUAAUGAACAUGAUUGGGGCAUGCAAUGUGGUUGUUGUGCAAUGAAUUUGUUAGGUGUUGGUAAGUUGUUUAAAACUGGUUUAUAAUGAACAUGUAGAUGUUUGGCUGCUAGUUAUGUAUGGUCAUACACUAUGUGAUGUAAAUGAUAAUGAUGCUUGAAAUGUUAGGCCUUUUCAAUGAUAGUUGGAGUAUUUGGAUUGCUUGAAUGUGGGGUUGUUUCCAUGAAAGUGAAUGCAAUCGUUUAUAGUAUGUGACUGCCAUGAAAUGUUUGGUAUGAUUGUUCCCAUGUGCAUGGUCUUGGAUUGAAUGAUUAAUGAAUGUGUGAUUGGGUUAUGAUGAAUCAAGUUAGUGGUUGUGUAAGCAUGCUAGUUAUGCUUGAAUUAGGUUUGAUUGUGAUAACAUGUAUGUGUAUGUAAUGUGAAUGAUUUUGUAGGGUGAUGUAGACAUGAGAAAUCAAACCAAGAUGACUUGUAUUUAAAGAAGAUGGUGAAUGCAUAAGUUAAAAGUAUGUGGAACCUUUUCAAACAACAAAGAUAACUUGGUGGAGAAGCAAUGUAAGAAAUGGGGUUUAGGAUCAUCAAAAUAGUCAGUUGACUUGAUCAACUAGUUGACCAAAAAGUCAAUAGUUGACCAAAUGUCAACUUAGGUAGAAAAAUGUAUUUUUUUUGUAUAAAACAAUUUGUAAUGGCUUUGAUGAAGUCAUACUUUGUAAUGAAAUCCCCUUUAUUUGAAAUGCAAAUGGGCUUGGAAGUGAAAUGGAAUUUAAAUGAUGUAUUUAAUGGAAUGAAUUUGAAUGAAACAUGACUUUGAAUGAA